CCUACGGGAGGCAGCAGUGGGGAAUAUUGGACAAUGGGGGAAACCCUGAUCCAGCGACGCCGCGUGAGUGAAGAAGGAUUUCGGGACGUAAAGCUCUAUCAGCAGGAAAGAAAAUGACGGUACAUGACUAAGAAGCCCCGGCUAACUACGUGCCAGCAGCCGCGGGAAUACGUCGGGGGCAAGAGUUAUCCGGAUUUACUGGGUGUACAGGGAGCGUAGAGGGGAGCGCAAGUCUGGAGUGAAAUGCCGGGGCCCAACCCCGGAACUGCUCUUGAAACUGUGAAGCUGGAGUGCAGGAGAGGUAAGCGGAAUUCCUGGUGUAGCGGUGAAAUGCGUAGAUAUCAG
Molecule: ribosomal RNA, 345 nt
Filed under: uncultured bacterium
Lineage: Bacteria
Description: partial 16S ribosomal RNA
Rfam family: Bacterial small subunit ribosomal RNA
Source: RNAcentral